UUCAUUCUUCUAUAUAUAUCUGGAUAUGGCGGAGCAGCCACGCUCCAUGCAAAUAAUAGCUAGUUAGCUCUUGUCACAUCACCCCAAUCCUCCUUACCAAACAGCUUGAUACUCCUCUUAGCUUCAAUCCUGAACUGUGACCCCAGGUUCUGGUCAUCCUCACGAUGAAGAACAACCAUGUCACCAACUCUCAGUUCAUAAUAUUUAACAAAUUGACGCCAGCCCUUAGAAAGCACUGGCUUGUCAUAAUCUCCAUCUCUCUUCAGGCAACGAAUAACUCGAAGCUCACCACAGCUAUCUUUAACAUGCAAAUCAACAGAAUUAUUUCCAGCAAAAUCUAAAUGCUGCAAGCAAUGAGCUGGGAACGAGAACCGAAAACGAACAUCAGUAUCUGUCAACACUUUGCUGAAGAUCUGCAUUUUUUUCUCAAGGGUCGUAAAAAGAGAGAGAAAUGGUUAUGUUUAAGCUAUCUGCUGGAUUGAUAUGGUUUCUUGCAGGGAGCUAUCUGUUGAUUGAUAUGGUUUCUUGCAAGGGGCUUGUUGAUUUAUACUAAAAACUAGCUAGCUACUGUAUUCACGGUAGAAAGACAUCGAGCGAGAGAUUUCGGAAAUCUUGUUCAUUUGAUCGAUUUCGCAUGGCGUUAUUUAAAUCUUGGUGGAUUAUUUGUAGAUAGAACAAGAGAAACGCAGGCUUAUCAAAGACUAAAUGAGCCAGGAGGUACGCUCGUAUUGCCUCUCGUGCACCUCGUUCGUUCUAACUUGCGAAAACCAAACACUUGCUCAAGAUCUUGCAUGCUUGUCGAAGUGUUUAGUGAACUAGAGCAUUUGUGCAACUUGGACAAUGGUACAAGAAUAAAUAAGGUUUAUUUUUCAAUUAUAUUUUAUGAAAUGAAAAUUGUCCUCUUAUUAGACAUACAUGAAUAAUAAUAAAAUAUAUUUCUUAAAAAUUAUAUUUUAAAAGGUUUCAUUUAUAAUUUUAUCUAGGUUACCUAUUCAUUUUAAGUCUGGGUCAUGAACUUAAGUUUGCGUCAUGAACUUGGGAUAAUGUCAUCUCUUAAGAGAUGAGGCUUUCACUCUUUCAAUUAUCUAGCAUUAACAAAAAAAUAAAAUUAAUUACAUGUUUAUGGAGUUAUUAAUCAUGCUCAAUAAUUUUUACAGUGUGCAACUUAAAUAUGAAAAUGGAGAUUUAUAUAAUACAUUGUUAUCAGUUAAUUGUAUUUUGCCAUUACUAUUGGCUCUUGUGAUUUUAGAUAAAGCUGGUUCUUGAUCUUGCAGGCGUGUGCUCUAAGUCCGCCCAAAGUUUCAUCAAUAAGGUCCACAGAGAGGGAGAGCUACAUCCUGCAUUUUCUUGAGAUUUCUGCGAGGUUUUUGUUCGAAUAAGCAACAAGGUGCACGAUAUUGCUGGAGGGCAAGUCCUUCCAUGCGUGUCCAAAAUUCGAAGUCAUUUUCAAUUCAAGGUCAACAAUAUAUUUUUUAUAAUAUAAUAAUGCUAGAAUGACGCUCGAUCUCCUCAGCAAUCAGCAUGCAUCGAGUAAUCGCGUUUGGAUUUCGAGCUCCACUGAUUUGAAAUGCUCGGUGUCUGUGUUGUAUACAUGUAGCCCAAGGAAUAAAUUAAGAGGGUUUGGAGAAAUUUGCCACACGGGAUCAUGUCUGUACUAUCGACCGAGACGGUCAGCACUGUGGGCGUGCAAUGACGUUUCUACUCGGAGGAGGCUAUGUGAUUUCUUUUUGACAGCACUGUACUUAAGCAUUGCCCUUUACUAUUACAAUUUUAUGUGCUGCAGCAAAUCGCUUUCUUUCUUCUAGUUCUUCCUUAGCAGGAGUUUUGUAUAGCAACCAACUUUCUUCUUCGCGCUUUUCAAAGCCGCAAUAAUAGACUUAAAUGCGCAUGUCAUUUGAAACGUUGCCUCAUCGGCAUGUCAUUAGAAAUGUUCUUCUCGCGGUUCUUCGCCUCUCUCUCUGUUUUUUUUUUCUUUUUUUUAAGUACUAUUUUAAUUUUGUUUACCAACAAAAGUUAAUUGCCGGUUGAUUAAAACAAUAUAGUGAUAUGCACCCCGGGAAGCGAGCAAGCUGAACAAGCUGCAAGCAGCGACCUCAUUUUUUCAUGUUACACUAUUAGACAAAUCUAGAGUGUUUUUAAGAAUUUAUUAUUUAAAGAUAUGAUUUUUUUAUUUUUUUGAAAAAUUCUUUAAAAGUUAGGUUGUCGCAAACCACAAGUCAUUCAACUGUCCACAGCAAUCCACACGAACUACCGAUAAAACAUCUCUUAAAUUUCUAUUUCGGAGAGAGGAAUUUCUAUGCCUAGAGUACUAGCCUUUUAUUCUGUGACUUGCAUAGUUUUUUUAUCCAACAUACAACAAUAAAAUUAAGAAGCAUAGCUUACUAUUUAUAGAAAAAAUCUAAAAAACCUUAUAAAUUGGAAGACAUUUCAAUUUGCCCCUUGCUUAAUCGAGUCCUUCCUUGAUUUUUCUAGGUCUAGAAAUAUAAUAUUUGUAUUCUAGUCCUUAAUUUCUAAAAUAUAUUUUAAUCAAGUCAUACCUAAUUAAAUUAUCUCAAUUUAAUUUCUAACUAGUGGUUCUUAAUGUCUGUGACCCAUUAGGUUCCUAAUAUAUUGGCCCAAAUAUAAAUUAUAAUUCUAAUUAAAUAUAAUUAAAUAAAUCAAACAAUUUAAUUUAUUAUCAAUUCAACAAUUGAUUAAUUUAUAUUUAAAGAUCAGGUGCAUCGUCUAAUAACGUGUCAUGAUCCCCUAAAUAUUAGAGAAGUCAUUGGUGGUUUGACUUAACCUUUGAGUGACUAGUUUUUUAGUGUAAUUAAUAUCAUUUCAUCAAUAAUGUUCCGAUUAAUUAGUUGCGAGUGAAGUUGAGAAGAGAAAAAAGAAAAAUCUUACCUUAAUAUAGUUGCGAGUGAAGCUGAGAAGAGAAAAAAAUAAAUUCAUAAAGUAUAUUAAUUAAAAAAUAUAUGAGAAGAGAAAAGAAAAAAAAAAGAGAAAAAGACAUACUUGAGAAUGGAGAAGAAGAGGAGUUGAAGAGAAAAGAUAAGAGAAAGAAAGAAGAGGAUGUUGUUGUUUUUUACAUAAGGGGAAGAAGAAGAAGAAGGAGAAGAAAAAGAAGAAGCAGAAUAUGCUCGUCUGUUGUGAAAUGAGGGAUUCUAUUUAUUAGGGUAUUUUACUAAUGGUUUUACCGACGGAUAUUAAUAUUUCUAACUUUCAUUGAUGAUUUCGUCUAUAAUAUUUAAUUUAAAUUUUCAAUUUAAUUAAAAAAAUUCAGAAACCACCAAAUAUCACCAACGACUUUUCAAUCCGUUGGUGAUUCUAUUUGUAUUAUUUAAAUUAAAUUUUAAAUUUACUCAAAAAUUUUCAAAAACCUGCAAAAUAACACCAAUGACUUUUCAAUUCGUCUAUGAUUUUGUCUAUAAAGAGCAAUAAUUAACUGUGCAAUUGGAAAGUGAACAGUUCCAGUGCUCUUUGAAAAAUACCGACGAAAUGUUCUGUCGGUGAUUCCCUUUGUAAUUGACAUGAUAAACAAUGUUAGGCAAAAGUGAACACUUUACUGAUGAUUUUACCAAAGGAUUUUACCGACGGAAUUAAUUACGUCGGUAAUUCUUUUGGUAUAAAUGACAUAUCAUCGUUUUUUUUUUUUGCUUUGUUUUAAUUCUUUUUUCCCCACCGUAAUUCCUUUGGUAGAUACUGAGAGAAUAUUUUUGUCGGUAAAAUUGACUGUAAUUUUUUGACAGAAAUAUUCUGUCAGUAUUUCUGUUUGUCUUUAUCAAUUUUCUGAUAGUGCUCCACCAUAAUUAAUGUGUAAAACAAUAUUGUAUAUAUCACUUGCUGAAAAUCUAGCAAGUGAUAUUUUUCAUCAUUUUAAGGACCUAAAAAUCCAUACUCAUUUGCGUCAAGAGAUAUGAGAGUCGCUACCUAGUUGUUUGGUUUAGAAUCACUAGGAAAUCCGGGUAUACUGGUCCUAUCAAAAAUUCUAAGGGUAAGGAACUGGUUGUGGCUAGGAAAUGUAUUAACACCCCUAGCAAAAAGAGGAGGGUAAAAGGGUAUUUUAAAUUAAAAUAAACCACGUGGUCAUAACACAAAAGGGGAGGGGUAAAGGGGUAAAAUACCCUAAAACCAUCUCUAUCUCCCACUUUUCUUCUAAGUGUCGCCGACAAGGCACCUUGCCCUUGCUACCAGUGUGCUUUCCAGCGAUAGCCAAGGCUAUCGUUGCACCAAGCAACAGAAACCAAGGUCAUUGUUGCCUACAUCCACACGAGGCCCAACACUGCGAGCAACAUCUAGCACGCCUGGUGCUGCCACCCAUGACAACGUGAGACAUUGCUACACAUACUUGUUUUGUAAAAAAAUCUGAUUUUAAAAAAUCAUGAGAAAAUUUGACUUUUUCGAAGAAAAAAAAUCUUUAUUUCGCACAUAAAAUUAAUUUCUAAUUAACACUAAUAAAAAUUAAAAUGUGCAAUCAAACAAUCCUAAUUCACCUAACGAAGGCGCUAAUCCCACUAUUGGGUUUCCAUAAUGGCAUACACACAGUAGAAAGAAUAAAAAAAUUAUUUGAAGUCCAUAGGAUCCCGUUAGACAAAUCUAGAGUUGUUUAGGGAUUUAUUACCUGAAGAUCUGAACUUCUUCGGCUUUGAAUAAUUCUUUAAAGGCUGAGUUGUUGCAAACCACAAGUCAUCCAAUUGUUCAGCUUCCAACGGUAAUCUACACGAACCACUAGUGAAAAAUAUUCUAAAUCUCUAUUUAAGAGAGAGGAAUUUCUAUGCCUAUAGUACUAGCUAUUUAUUCUAUGACUAGUAUAGUUUUUUUUUUUUUUGUCUAAGACAGAUAAUAACAAAAUUAAGAGGCAUAGCUUACUAUUUAUAGAAAAUUCCAAAAAUCCCUAUAAAUUGGAAAACAUUUCAAUUUAUCCCUUGAAUAAUAUCCACAUAUUAUUGUUCUCUCUAUGGACCUGUCUCUUUUAUGUAUUGGGGGAAUGCUCGUUUUUGCUGCCUAUCUAAACUUUUUUAAAAAUUUUAUUUUUUAUUUUAAAUUAAUUUUUUAUGUUUAAAAAAAAAACUUUAUGUGUGAAUAUUAAAAUUAGAUUUUUAAAAAAAUAAAAUAAAAAUUAUUUUAAUAUAUUUUCAAAUAAAAAACAUUUUAAAAAAUAAUUUUUACCAUAAUAUCAAACACAACCUAAAUUUUAAAAGAAAAAUAAAAGGAUUUAUAUAAGGAAUGUGUAAUAGCAAGAUUUCAAACACUAAUCAACAAUAAACUCAACCAUGUAUAUUUACUAUACAAAAUGUAAAACUACUCACAAAUUACUAUUAUUAGCUACAUUAUCUGCUUUCACAAAUUAUUAUUAUUAAAACAAGGCAUGUCUUGAGCCUCAACUCAUGCGAUUCAAAAGUCUAAAAUCAUAUACACAUCCAAGACUAUAACUUUUAUGAAAGAUGUGAGGUCAGAUAAAUUUGUUUUGAAGGUAAAACCCCAAACACAAAUUGAAAGACGAGAUUAGUCUUCUAAUUUGAUGAGAAAACUUGUAGGAGGGAGUUGUAUCUUGAGAAGGAAUUUAAGAGUAUCGGAAGGAUUGUUUUCUACAUCCUUUAAACUUCAUAUCUUUAUCCUUGAUUUUAUCAUGAAAUCUUAGUCCUGAGAUACAAAAACAGGGAAAGACCAACUAGACAGUUGGGUUCUAUUUUGCUCCUGGGAUUUGGAGAGAGAUUAUCUUAAGUGCUGGAAUUUUCAGAGAUCAUGAGCAACUAAUUUCUAAUUUCGAUUUAAGGAGAAUAUACUCCAUUUCUAUUAGAAAGUUGUGAGAAGUAAUGUUGUUAUUGUAAUUCUUUUAAAUUCAAAUAGUUAAUUUUCCUAGUUUAGCUUUAAUGUACUUAUUUAGCCCAUGAGAGAAGCAUAAGCAGCGAUCAUGGAAUUUCGAGAAACAAAGAUUUUCCCUUUUCAUGUCAUUUGAAACGUUUUUAGCUUCAUGUUUAUAUAUACACACACAUACUAAUUAGCUAUUAAAAAAAUGACAAACUAACUAAAAGAAAAACUUACAUUAAAAAAAAAACAAAGAAACAACAAAAAAUACUAAUAUUGAGCAUUAAACUACCUCAAUGUAUAAUUUGAAUAUCUAGCUAGAUUAAUAUCUAUAUAAAUAAAAUUUUGAAAUUUAGCACGAAACCAUUAAACUAUACGAUGAAAAAUUAAAUCAUAAAUUUUAUUUCAACCAAGAUCAACAGCACCGUAUAUAGAUGACCAACAAAUGAUUUCAUUCCAGCAAGGAAAGCUGAAUAGUCUUCAGCAUACUCAAUCCAUUGCAUAAUCAUAACUAAUAAUUCUUCUAUAGGCAAGAAAUUUUCUGGAACUCAGACUACCCUGUAACAACAACCACAAAAACAUCUCAAUUUUUUAGAAGAAAUAUACUUGCUACAGUUAAGUAUCAAAAUUCUCAGAUCCUGCAUGCUGAUUUAACAGUAAAAAUCUCAAUGGAUUCACUGACCAAAUUCCAAGCAAUCCAAUUGACCACAAGCAGAGAGCACACGAACUGAUGUUACAAACGCAGCCUCCAGCAUGUUACAAACCAUUCUAAAGCUUCCUCCAGCAAUUUUGAUAAACGACAUCCUUGCCAGCUCUAGCUCACCGCUUUUAGCAUACCCAUUAACCAUACUCGUCCAAGAGAGCACAUCUCUAACUCCCAUGGUAUCAAAGAUCCCUCUUGCAGAAUCCAAGCAGCCACAUUUCACAUGCAUUGUGAUUUACAUUUCUAGUUUUACAUAUUCGUGAAAACUCUUCCCUUUUCUCAAACCCCCCUUCUGCGAGCAAGCUGAACGAGUGGCUAUCGUAGUGACCUCUUCUGGCUCCACAUUGCCCUCCACUGACAUCGACUCAAAAAGCUUCCCAACAGUUACGCUUAGAACACCCAUCAGUCAUAGACAGAAAUUCCAUCUCUAACAGGAAUUCCUUCAAACAAGUGUCAAGCAAAACCCAAACAACCACGCAGGUCAUAAAAACGAGCCAACCCAUCUUGAAACAACAUAGCAUGAUUUAUACCUGCAGUGUGAGAGAGGGCAAAAGGCCAAGGCAAGACAAAGCUUGGGGGUAGAUUAGCCAGACUAUAAAGGAGAAGGACUUAUUUGUACUUGUUCCAAGAUUGUGAGUCAAAAUAAUACCGCUUCUUUUCCUUCAAACGCAAUCUCGUCCUACGUUCCAGGGAAUCUUUUUACCUAAUCUCUUAAUAUAUAUUUGAAUGGCAUCUUGGCUUAAGCUCCUUCAAUUAUUGCUUUCGAAUAUUCUCAUGGUAUUGCUCUUUGUUUUUGAGGAUCCAAUUAAUAAGCAAAUCAUGGAGACUUGGCUGUUGACCUCAACACUCUCGUCUGCUUUGACUCCUUCAAUAUCUUGGAUGUGAACCAGGCUUGGAAUAUUGGGUGUUCUUGUUUUUGAUACAUGUAAAGAGGUAAGCUAAGCAUCUCUUUCAAGAUCUCUCUAGCUGCUGCAGCGAUGCCAAAUCGCUUUCUUUCUUCAAGUUCCUUAGCAGGAGUAUUGUAUAGCAACCAACUUUCUUUGCGUUUUGCUCCAGGUCUGGGCCAAUUUUGAUGCCUUUUGUGAAUCCCUCCAUCUGGGCUUAUCAAAAGAGGAGGAGGAAAGAAGUAAGUUUCUCUUCUCAGUUUUGUAUGAUAUGGUUUCUGUGCUUCAUUAUUGAAUUACUCUCUGUGAAUUUUAAAGGACUGGACAUGUUUCAAUUCAGUACUGAGCUAGUUUCUUGAUGGUUGCUUGCCUGCUUACUUCAGACUUCUUUACAAAAGAAAAGAAAAGAAAGAAAAACUGUCCUCUUGAGACAUCACAAAACCAAUAAAACUUCACAUAAACUAGGAAGGAAAGGGGAAGUUGGAAUCUUGAGUUCACAGGCUAAUGGUGGAGUCCACGUUACAAUUGCUUUGCUUAAACAAAUCUUAGCGUUCUGUUUUUUCAAUUGAAAUAAAAUGAAUAUAAUUUCAACUCAAAUCUAUAUAUAACCACAAUUUUAAAAGUUGAGUUUUAAUCGGUAGAACCUAAUUAAUUGGAUGAACAACUAAUAAAAUUAUAAUUUGAUUAAAAAUAUUAAGCAGUUAAAUUUUCAAUAAAUUUUUUAUUAAAUAAAAAUAUAAAAAAAAUCAAAUCUAAAAAAAAAAAAACAAAAGGAUGACCUUUCAAAACAAAGUUCUAAAAAUACAAUCAUCAAUUUUGCAAGGUCUUUCUAAAUUUUUAACCUGAGAUUUCAUAAUAUGUUAAGACACUUCUCAUAAAAUUUCAGUCUGAUCUAAUAAUUAAAUUGAAAAAUAUAAUUACUAUUUUAAAAAUAAAUAAUAUUUAAAAAAAUAAGAAAAAAAAAUAUUGCCUCUCUUUUUGUUUUACACGGUCCCUCCAACCUAUUAUUAUUAUUAUUUCCCCUCUUUUAAUUUUAAGAUAUCCCAUUUUAUUUUAUCAGUCGAAAGUUUUAUAAAUACCAGAGUUUCCAGAAAUCUCCAAAAUGUCGUCAAAGUUUUAGGAACAUAAUUUUAUAGAUGAUAUGUUAUUGCGAUAGGAUUUGAAUCCAUCCAUCUUUGUUUCUUAGCAUCACCAAUGAGUUAGUUCCCAUGAUUUCAAAAACUAUAUGUAUGGAUUCUCUAUGGUUUUAAAUCAAUGGAAAUCUUCAUUUUCAGACACUUGAAAAGCGCACAAAAUAGAAAAAAAUAAAAAUAAAAAACCAACAAAAUUGAAAAACCUGGAAAUCAAGCCAGAGCAAGGGAUAGAUAUGAAAUGUUAAAAACUUGAGAAUUACAUGCACCCUGUUUACAGAUAAGGAUGGAAAGACUAAGACUGAUGCUAAGAACAUCGAUUAUCACUACAAACAGUACUCAAACAUAAACAGAUUGACGCUCCAUGCAAAUAAUAGCUAGUUAGCUCUUGUCACUUCAACCCAAACCUCCUCACCAAACAGCUUCAAACUACUCCUCCUCUUAGCUUCAAUCCUGAACUGUGACCCCAGGUUCUGGUCAUCCUCACGAUGAAGAACAACCAUGUCACCAACUCGCAGUCCAUAAUCAGCAACAAAAUCACGCCAGCCCAUAGAAAGCACUGGCUUUUCAUAAACUCCAUUUCUCUUCAGGCAACGAAUAACUCGAAGCUCACCAUAGCAAUCUUUAACAUUCAAAUCAACAUAAUUAUUUCCAGCAAAAUCUAAAUGCUCUAAGCAAUGAGUUGGGAACGAGAACCGCACACGAACAUCAGUAUCUUUCAACACUUUGCUGAGGAUCUGCAUUUUUUUCUCUAAGGGUCGUAAAAAGAGAGAGAACUGGUUAUGUUUAAGCUAUCUGCUGGAUUGAUAUUGUUGCUUGCACCGAGCUUGUUAAUUUAUAACUAGCUAACUACUGUAUUCACGGUAGAAAGACAUCGAGCGAGAGAUUUCGGAAAUCUUGUUCAUUUGAUCGAUUUCGCAUGGCGUUAUUUAAAUCUUGAGGGAUUAUUUGUAGAUAGAACAAGAGAAACGCAGGCUUAUCAAAGACUAAAUGAGCCAGGAGGUACGCUCGUAUUGCCUCUCGUGCACCUCGUUCGUUCUAACUUGCGAAAACCAAACACUUGCUCAAGAUCUUGCAUGCUUGUCGAAGUGUUUAGUGAACAAGAGCAUUUUGGGCAACUUGGACACUGGCCAAGGACCCAUUUAAUAAAAAACUACAAGAAUAAAUAAGGUUUGUUCUUCAAUUAUAUUUUAUGAAAUGAAAAUUUUGUCCUCUUAUUAGACAUACAUGAAUAAUAAUAAAAUAUAUUUCUUAAAAAUUAUAUUUUAAAAGGUUUCAUUUAUAAUUUUAUCUAGGUUCCCUAUUUAUUAAUACAUUGCAUAAGAUUUGUUAUCAGUUAAUUGUAUCUUGCCAUUAUUAUUGGCUCUUGUGAUUUUAGAUAAAGCUGGUUCUUGAUCUUGCAGGCAUGUGCUCUAAGUCCGCCCAAAGUUUCACCAAAUCCUGCGUUUUCUUGAGAUUUCUGCGAGGUUUUUGUUCGAAUAGGCAACAAGGCGCACGAUAUUGUUGAAGGGCAAAUCCUUCCAUACGUGUCCAAAAUUCGAAGUCAUUUUCAAUUCAAGGUCCACGAUAUACUUUUUAUAAUAUAAUAAUGCUAGAAUUACGCUCGAACUCCUCAGCAUGCAUCGAGUAAUCGCGUUUGGAUUUCGAGUUCGACUGAUUUGAAAUGCUCGAUGUCUGUGUUGUGUGCAUUAGGGGUGAGCAAAAAAACCGAAAAACCGAUUAAACCGAGAAAAUCGAAAAAAAAAUAACCGAAAAAACCGAACCGUAAAAAAAAACCGAUCAAACCGAUUAGAAAAAUUAAAAAACAAGCCGGUUCGGUUCGGUUUCGGUUUUAAAAAGCUGAAACCGAAUAAACCGAACCGAACCGAACCGGUUCAAGUAAAAAAAUUAAUACUACUAUAAAUACCUACUUUUCAGCUUUCCCCUUCUUUUUUCUAAACCCUAGCCGCCACCCAUCUUUCACAAUCUUUACCUCUCAACUCAGCCCCCACCCCCAUCUUCACUUUCAACCUUUAUCGUCCAUAUUUUUCAAUCUUCAUCUCUCAGCACAGCUCCCCUCCCAUCUUCAUCUCUCAUCCCUCAACCUUCCCCAUCACAGCCCCUAUCUUUAUCUCUUAUCUCUCAAUUUUUCUCACAAUCCUCCAUCAACAUCUUCAUUUCUCAUCUCUCUCAAACUUUCUUUAAAGCUUUAAGCACAACUCCCCUCCUUCCUCAAAGUAGAUCCGGUGAACGAACCAUCAUUAUGUCUCAUCUCUCAAUCUUUUUGUUCUUUUCUUUAAACAUAGUCGACUAAGCUCAUGGAUUAACAACCAAACAGCAGCUUUGGAGCCCCCCUCUCUCCAAUCUUUAUCUUUUAAUUUUUGUCCUUGUUUAGUUUUUUUUUUUCCUGAUUUUUGUAGAUUUAUUAUGUAUUCAUUUUCUAUAUUUAUUUACAAGAAUGUUGAUCUGUCAUUCAUGUUCCGAUUACCGUAAUGGAUGUUGUGAUAAUUAUUUUUUUCAAAUUUUCGUUUGAAUCUUGUUCUUUUUGGCUUCCUGAUUCAGAAAACUUGCUUGAUAUGCGUGGUCAAGAUGAAAUCGGUUUAUUCCGGUUUUUCCUUUUAAUUAACCGAACCGAACCGAACCGAAACUGGUCGGUUUGAACCGGUUUCGGUUCGGUUUCGGUUUUGAUUUAAAAAUGAAUAAAUAAAUCGGUUUGGUUAGUUUUUUAGGUGAAAACCGGACCGAACCGGAAAUGCUCACCCCUAGUGUGCAUGUAACCCAAAGAAUAAAUAGUGUUUGUGUCAUCGACCGAGACGGUGAGCACUGUGGGCGUGCAAUGACGUUUCUGCUCGGAGGAGGCUAUGUGAUUUCUUUUUGACAGGCAGCGGUUUCUUUUCUUUAUUCUUUAUUAUUUUUUCCCAAAGGGUUCCUAUUAAGAUAGAAAGGAUACAUGGUUCAGACAAAAAAAAAAAAACAUAUUUAUCUUGUAAUCCUAUUUAUUUUUAUAUUUUAUAUUUAUCUCUCUAACCCGAAACAUGUUUGUUCUUUUUAUAUUUAUAUUUAUAUUUGUACUUUCUAUUUUAAAACAAUAAUCAGUGCAUUAAUUAGACAGACAAUUACUAUCUAAUCACAAUUAUUUUCACAAUUUACACGGCUGAAUCUUGAAACACACAUGGUGCGGCUAAUCAAGCCAAAUUUGAUAGCAUUGAAGGGGUUUUGGUGACUUUUAUUUUUCACAAGAAGAAUGAAGUGCAACAUGGUGUUAUGUUGGCUUUAUCUUGCAGCUGCAAAAUGGGAUAAAAUGGCUGUCAUUUGUCAUUUUAUGGAGUUGAAUUAAACAUAUUUGUUUUUACGUUAUAAUUUUUUUUAAUUUUGUUUUUUUAAUUUUUUUUAUCAAUAUCCUCUCUCUCAUUUCUUUUUUUAAUUGUUCGCAUUUAAAUUUUUUUAUAACUAGUAACUAAUCUUUUUUAUUGUCUCUAUAAUUUUAUAAUAUCUUAAAUAGAUUAUUAUAAUUUAUCUUUAAAUUUUACAUCGAUCUAUUGUGUUUGUAUAUAUGAUAUAUUUAUAAAAAUAAAAAUCACAUGUAUUUAAUGAACCUAAUUUCACCUCCAAGAUUGAUAAAAAAUAUAUAUUUAAAAUGAAAAGAACAAUAAAGAUAAAAUAUUUACAUGUAUAUCUAUCAUUUCCUUUUUUACUAGGAUAUAUAAUUUAUUUUGUUCUCUUCUUGGAGACCCUUCUUCUGCAUACUCAACUCACUUUAUUUCUUCAAGCUAGUGAUAUUAGAAAAAUAAAAAAAUACUAUUAAUAUUAGAAAAAACCUAUAUAUAAUUUUUUUAUAUUUUGAUAAUAUAAUACCCACUUAAGAAUAUAUUAAGAAAAUUAAUGUGAAAACAGGAAAAGAAAGAAAGCAUCACGGUAGCAAUAGUGCCAUAAACGUGUUUGUCGGAGAAAAGAAGAAAGAGCUUGGAGAGGUGGAAGAUAAUUCACAUCAAUGGUGAUGUGAAUGUUUGUACCUGAAAUAUUCUCACGGUUGAUUGAGACUUGUUGUUGCUAAUGAUUAAUCGAUUUUAAUUUAAGACAAGACUGCAAGAUCAUCGUGUACAUCGAAACAUGGAGAGAUAAUAACCUAAGGCUGGUUGGUUUGUUUUUGCGUUUUAAACGUUUAUAUUUAUCAUGUAAAUAUUAUCUGUGAGCUUGUUGAAGCUCAGGGGCCUGAUUUUGUGCCUCGAAAGAAGUAGAAAACAUUACAAAAAAAAAAACCAUACUUAUCAGUGCAUUAAUUAGUUUUACAAUUUACACGGCUGAAUCUUGAAACACCAGCCCAGUUAUUGGCCAUUUUAAGCUUCAAACGCAACGGCUGAAACCUUCGAACUUACUCUUGACUUCCAUCUGGAAGUGCUUCAUCGUUAAAUUCAUUGUUUUACUUUUAUAUAUAUAUAUAUAUAUAUAUAUAUAUAUUGAGUUAUCUCGAUAUUAUAUUUCGGAUAAUAAGUUAGUCAAAUUAACCAUGAUUGUCACUCUCUUUUUUUUUUCCUUUGAUUUGUUUUAUAAAAUUAAAAUGUUUUAAACAAUUUCAUACUUCGGUGUUAAAUUAUUGAUCCUUGAACUAAGUGAUUUUUUCACUUUUUUAUUUUAUUUUGAGUUAUCCCCAGUAUAGGUUAAUCAAAUUAACCCGGGUUAACUUGCAUUUUCUUACUCGAUGUCUUUUUAUUUAACUUCGGUUUUUUUUGUUGGGUCCUUCUUUUGGAAAUCUAACUUUUUUUAUCCUGAUUUCAUGCCGCUAGUGGCAAGUUAGUCGAGUUAACUGGGUAUUUUCCCCCCAAAUUUUUUAUGACUUGUUUUUAUUUUUUAAUUUUAUCAUUCUGCAUUAAAUUAUUUUCCUUAAACUUUUUUUUUUUUUUUUGCUUCUCUUUCUAUUUCUUUAUUUCAAGAGUGGGUUGAUCAAGCUAACUAGGGUCAACUUGCAUUUUUGUUCACAACAUUUUUUAAUUUAACUUAUGUCUUUUUUGGCUUACCCUUUAAUUUAUAGAGGUCUAAUUUUUUUAACAUGGUUGUCUCGGAUUAUCAUCGCUUGAAUAUCUUUUUUUAAUGUUGAAAAAAAUUUGGUCCGACCCUCGAUGUGGCUCAAGCCACCUUCUUUCCAAUGAACAACACUUAAAUAAUAGCAUUCAAGGAGAGGAACAAUGAUUUCCCUAUAUUAGUUUUUGUUGAUAGACUAGAUCUUUGACCUGCUCUACACUCGGGUCAGAUCAAUUUUUUUUAAAUUACAAAAGAAACAUCCAGACAUUGCUUAUAUUUUUCAAGUAAAUGAUUUUUAAAACCGCGUGGAUGUUGAGCCGAUAUGACCUGAUCGACCUGAUGGAUAUAACCCCAAACAACCUGUAAAAAUGUUGUUUGAUUACCAAAAAUUCAAGACAAUAUUUUUUUUUAAUAAUAUUAGAAUGAAAACAUAUUGAAUCGAUUCGGGCUAACACAGGUUAAUUUAUCAAAUUGACGACCUAGAUUAUAAGACUAUGAUAACCCCACAAAAAGUAAAUCAAAAUAAAUUACGAAGCUCAAUUCUCAAUCAACUCAUUGUUGAAGAAUGUAAAUGAAAAACAUUAAUUAAAAAAUAACAAAAAAUUAUCUAGGUUAACUUGUCAAACCUGUGAUCCGGGUUAUCAUAUCAAAGAUAACCUCAUGAAAAGUAGACAAAAAAAAUUACUUGAUUUAACCCGGAUUAAUAUGUCGAACCUGCGACCAAGGUCAUGAUAUUGUGAUAACCCCAUUAAAAAAAUCAAAAUAAAUUGUGAAGCCUAAUUUUUAAUAAACUCAUUGUUAAAGGUUGAAAAUAAAAAAAAAAUCAAUUUAAAAAUAGAACACAGUGAAACAACUUGAGUCUACCCGGGUUAACCCCCAAAACACGUGAUCCGAGCAUAAGACUGGAUAACCUCGUAGAAAGCAAAACAAAAUAAAUCACGAAGCCUAAAUCACAAUCAAACCAAUGUCGAAUCAUGAAAAUAUAAAAAAUGCCAAUGAAAAAGUUAAAAAAAAAAAAAAAAAAACUCAAGUCAACAGGGUUAACUCACCAAACCCACGACUCAAGUCACAAAGCUGAGAGAACCUCAUAAAAAAUAAAUCAAAAUAAAUCAUGGAGCCUAAUUCCCAGUCAACUUGAUGUUGAAUGACUAAAUUGAGAAAAAAAAACGAUCAAUUAAAAAGAGAGAAACCACAAUAAAUCUGCAACACGGGUUAUAAAUCCAAGCUAACCACAAUAAAUUAUGAAUCCUAAUAUCCAAUAAACUAAAUAUUGAAGUAUGAAAUUAGAAAAAAAAUCAGGAUAAUCUCAUAGAAAGUAAAUAAAAAAAGACCUAAGUCAACCUUAAUUAAUCUGUCAAACUCGCGAUCAAGAUCAUGAGACUGUGAUAACCUUGUUAAAAGCAAAAAUAAAUAAAUUAUGAAGCCUAGUUUUCAAUAAGCUCAUUGUUAAAGGUUGAAAAUGAAGAAAAUUAAAUUAAAAAAUGGGAUACAACAAAACAAUAUGUGUUUAUCCGUGUUAACCCACAAAACACGUGACCUAAGCAUAAAACCAAGAUAAACCCAUAGAAAACAAACCAAAAUAGUUCACGGGGCCUAAUUCGUAAUCAACCAAAUAGUGAAGGAUGAAAUAGAAAAAAUUCCAAUAAAAAAAAAUGUCAAUAAAAACUCAAGUUAAGUAGGUUGACCCGCCAAACCCGCGACUCGAGUAAUAAGACUGAGAUAACAUUAUAUAAAGCAAACUAAAAUAAAUCAUGAAACCUAAUUCCCAAUCAACCUAAUGUUGAAUGAUGAAAUUGAAAAAAAAUUAUCAAUUAAAAAAGAUAUAUAAAACUGGAGUCAACCCGCCAAACACGUGACACGGGUUACAAGAUUGAGCUAAAUAAAGCAAACCACAAUAAAUUAUAAAACCUAAUCUCCAAUAAACUAAAUAUUGAAGUAUAAAAUUAGAAAAAAUAUAUAUAUAUAGAAAAAUAAAGACAAAAAAAUGUUGUUGAAAUGAAUAGUAUUUUACAAGAUAGUGCACUAUAAAAGCACCACCUCUUUUAGUUUAUACUAGAUAUUUGACCCGUGUUUCACCAUUGGUUAGAAUUAUUAUUUUUUGACAAAAAAAUUUAUAUAUAGACUAUUUCAAUAAUUUUUUGUAUUUUAGAAAAUUCCAAGUGAAAAAAACAAUAUACAUACAUAUAAUCAAAACAAUUGAGAACUGUAUGUCUUAAUAAGUGAAAAACAAAAACUGAAAACUCGAGAGACAAGUAUAGAUUAAGAUAUUUAAUUUUGUAAGAUGUGACAUUUACACGGUUGUGUUUUCUAAAUUUAUUGAUUAAAAUAAUUGUUUUAUUCAAUCAAACAAUAAUAAAAAUAGACACACAAAUUAAGUUAAUUGAAUAAAAUAAAAUGUAAAAAAUAAUAUGCAAGGUUGCACAUAUUAGAAAUAUUAUUUGAAAAUAAAUUUCUUUUUAUUUUCAAAAUUAAAUUUCAUGUAUAUAAAAGAUUAAAAAAUAUAGAUUAAUAAGAAAUACCUCCUAAAAAAUUAAAUGCAUAAUUAAAAUAUAAUUUUCAUUUCAAAUAAGCUUUCUAAAAGCAUAAAAGAGAGAAAGAAUAUUAAUCUAAAUAAAAAUAAAAAUAAAAAUAAAAAUAAGAUUAAUUUUUAAAAAAUAGAAACAAAAAACAAAAGAAAAUCUUUUUCCCUAAAGAGAAAAAAAGUUAAUAAUGUUGUCCAUAGUAAAACUUGAGGGGUGAACCUAGACCAUGAGCUCAACCAGGUUUAAUAUUUUUUUCCCUUGAAAUUUAAACAUAAAAAAAAUAAACAAUGUCAUCCACGGUAAAACAUAAAGGGAUGAAUAAUGCAGUUGCACGAUGUUCACCUCACAUAUUUUCCCUUUAAAUUUAUAGCAAAACCUUAAAAUAAAAUAACAAACUAGUGUCGUCCAAAAUAAAACAUGAGGGGGUGAGCAGUGUAUCUACAUAGUGUUCACCCCAUAUGCAUUGUCAAAAUCUAAUUUUUUACCCUUUUAUUUUAAUUUUUUUUUUAUUACCCAAAAAAAUGAUAGCAAAAAAAAAAAGAAAAAGAAAAAAUGAUGAUGGAAGAAAUAAAAUGAUGAAAUAAUUGAAGAAGGAAUCAAAAUUUGGGUUAAGGGCAAAAUGAUUUGAAGUUUUUGUGUUCACUUAAACUUUGGAUUGGUUUUAUUAAUCAAAUCAAGAGCUUAAUUAGAGAAUUGAUAAGUUUUGAGACUUAAUUGAGCUUGGAAUUAAUUUAAAUAAUGAAAUCAGGGACUUAAUUGAAGAAAUACCAAAGUCUGGGGUUAAUUGAGGGCACAAUUGCAAUAUAUUAAAGUCCAAGGUCUAAAUUGUAAAAGGCGCCGAAAUGCAGGGAUCCAGUUACAAUUUAACUAGGAGCUUAAUUACAAAACUGUAAAAAAUUCAAGGGCCAAAAUGCAAAUAGCCAUUAAACACUAAAAAACAGCUUUGUUUCCCACUACUGUUCAUCUUCCUCCCGACUAAAACGGACGCCCACCGCUGCUCCCACCAUUACACCUGCAAUUAACACACUUUAUGGCUGGAAGAAACGGCAUUGUUCUCUGGUUAUAAAAGACAACAAGGCUAACAAGGUGUCUGGGUGAUCUGGAAGCCAACAAGCCCUUACAAGAAGUGCACGGGGCAAUUUGUGCUACCCACGCAAAUAGACACAUGAUGGCUAGGCAAAUGCAUAAUUUUUAACACGCAAAUAGAGCAGGUUAUUUUUAGCUGACCAAGGAGAAAGAUUGCAUAAUUUUGUCCGAAGGUGCCACAAAUGUCAAGUGUAUAGUGACAAAGUCAAUACGCCUCCCGCACCCUUAUUCAACAUAGUGUCUCCUUGGCCCUUUGCAAUGUGGGGAAUAGAUGUGAUUGAGCCAGCCUAUUAAUUCAAAAGCCAGUAAUGUGUAUCGUGUUAUCCUUAUAGCGAUUGAUUACUUUACCAAAUAGGUAAAGGUCUUCUCAUAUGCCCAUGUGACUUAGAAAGUGGUCAAACGGUUCAUAGACAAAGAUAUAAUCUGUAGAUAUGGUGUACCCGAGAGAGUAGUGACUGAUAAUGCUCAAAACUUCAAUGGAAAGAUAAUAGCAGAGCUUAUGCUUGCUUAUUCAUGUGCACAUCAAUCGAGCUACUUUUAUUGUUUAUACAUGUAUUUUGACUUUUAGAAACUCAUGAGGAACUUCAAACAUUCCAUUUUGACUUCAUUCCUGCAAAGAAAGCUGAUAGUCUUCAGCAUACACUCAUCAUACUUAAUCCAUUGCAUAAUCAUAACUACUAAUUCUUCUAUAGGCAAGAAAUUUUCUGGAACUCAGACUACCCUGUAACAACAACCACAAAAACAUCUCAAUUUUUUAGGAGGAAAUAUACUUGCUAGAGUUAAGUAUCAAAAUUCUCAUAUCCUGGAUGCUGAAUAUCAUCAAUGAGAGCACAAGCUGAUUUAACAGUAAAAAUCUCAUUCUUCUCUCACUGCCACACCCUUAUCUCAGCUGAAUAAAAAAUAGAUAAAUUCCACUCUGCUUUAGGUUUUGAUGACUCCAAACGCAGACACUCCCUAUUCUCAGCUUCAUGCAUGACCCCACAUUUAGCAAUACAUGUCAAUGAACGCGUUUGCUAUGAUCACACUGAUUCGUUGUGUUUUGUAACGAUGAUGUAGUUUCAAUGGAUUCCCUGACCAAAUUCCAAGCAAUCCAAUUGCCACAAGCAGAGAGCACACGAACUAAUGUUCUCCAAUGGAACAAACGCAGCCUCCAGCAUGUUACAAACCAUUCUAAAGCUUCCUUUGGGUGGUUGCCCAGCAAUCCCAUGGCACUCCAGGAAACCACAUUCCUCUCCGGAAUCUCAUUAAACGACAUCCUUGCCAGCUCUAGCUCACCGCGUUUAGCAAACCCAUCAACCAUACUCGUCCAAGAAAGCACAUCUCUAACUCCCAUACUCGUCCAAGCAGCCACAUUUCACAUUCAUGGUGAUUUGCAUUUCUAGUUUUACAUAUUCGUGAAAACUCUUCCCUAUUCUCAAACCCCCCUUCUGCGAGCAAGCUGAACGAGCGGCUCUAAUUUAAUUCUUUAAAUUCUUUGCCGCUUCCUCUCAACGCUGUCGUUUAUGCUGUAUUUGAAUAAUUUCCCUCUUCUGUUGUCUUAAUCCCUAGCUUUGUUAAUUCCAUUCGUGACACAGUGUGAGAGGGGGCAAAAGGCAAAAGGCAAAGGCAAGACAAAGCUUGGGGGUAGAUUAGCCAGACUAUAAAGGAGAAGGACUUAUUUGUACUUGUUCCAAGAUUGUGAGUCAAAAUAAUACCGCUUCUUUUCCUUCAAACGCAAUCUCGUCCUACGUUCCAGGGAAUCUUUUUACCUAAUCUCUUAAUAUAUAUUUGAAUGGCAUCUUGGCUUAAGCUCCUUCAAUUAUUGCUUUCGAAUAUUCUCAUGGUAUUGCUCUUUGUUUUUGAGGAUCCAAUUAAUAAGCAAAUCAUGGAGACUUGGCUGUUGACCCUCAACACUCUCGUCUGCAUUGACUCCUUCAAUAUCUUGGAUGUGAACCAGGCUUGGAAUAUUGGGUGUUCUUGUUUUUGAUACAUGUAAAGAGGUAAGCUAAGCAUCUCUUUCAAGAUCUCUCUAGCUGCUGCAGGGAUGCCAAAUCGCUUUCUUUCUUCAAGUUCCUUAGCAGGAGUAUUGUAUAGCAACCAACUUUCUUUGGGUUUUGCUCCAGGUUUGGGCCAAUUUUGAUGCCUUCUGUGAAUCCCUCCAUCUGGGCUUAUCAAAAGAGGAGGAAAGAAGUAAGUUUCUCUUCUCAGUUUCAGUGUUUCAGUACGCCAUAACACCAUCUCCAGCUUCUUUCAGAAGAGCAGUUCGAAGCAUUCGCAGAGCAGAAAAUAGUUUGGCGGACAGGUUCUGUCAUGUUAAAAGUUCAAUAGAUGGUCAGGAAUCUCAUCAAUCAUGAUGAAUGAAGAGAACAAAAACCCAAGACAUAAGCAUACCAAGUCCACUUCAGAUUGAGGUUGGGCAGGACUACAAGCUUGUGGAGGACUUAACUUCCCAGACAUUAGAGAGCCUUUUGCUGGAGUAGCCUCGGAUUUGCCCUGUUUUGAAGCUUUUACAGAGGAAGGGAAUCUACAAGGAGCAUGAGAUACCAGAAUGAGCAUCCUACCUGUUCAUUUCAGCUAUGAAAAACAGAAAGGUUAAAUGAUGAUAGUUUGUCCAGAGGAUCAUAAUAUGUGAGGCUAAGCAAAGCACAAGGCUAAGCUUGCUGGCUUCAUCCAACUCUUGGUCUCCAUAAUUUAGUCAAAGCCACCCUCGCUAAUGCUAUAUGUAAAUUGUAAAUUUUAUAACCAGUCGCUCCAAAGUUAAACAUCUGGACCAACCAACACAAAACUUACUCGGGCCAGAUUUCUGACAGCUUCAUCUGAAUUUCUUUGCAAAAACAUGUGUUUUGCAUAGGUUUUGCCCAAUGAAAGGGUAUGGUUUAGACCGAACAAUCCAACCCAAAUGAACUAAGACCUUGUCGGUUCUAUUUUCUCUUAUGCUCAAUAUCCACAUGCUUCUUCAGAGAAUAAUCAAAAGAAGCAUACAUUUGGCACUUUUCUUAUGCUCAAUAUCCACAUGCAUUUGGCAAUAGAGCACUGGCAUAAGUCUAAUGAAACAUGUACUCAAAAGAAGCAUGCUGAAAGGCUGCACCUUAAAACAAUCCUUUGCCCGCCAGAGCAUAGUUUGUGUGCCUUGGAUUCAUUCACCUGAAAGAAAUUAAAAUGAUCAUUUAACAUGAGAAAUUAAACAAUGAGAAUGGUAGAGUCGCUCUCUCUAUCACACUGAGUUAAGCUCUAUAUAGAAUUUGAAAAACCACAAGCACCUUUAACACUGACGAUACAGAUCUGUAAAUGUCACUUUUCUUAACUAUUUUGCAUUGUAUGAACCCAUUCUGACAAUAUAUCAAACCAGAAAGCAUGAAACCAACUCUUAAGAUGCCCUAAGCUUCAAAUUUAUAAUUAGAAGGCAAUAUCAAUUGAUAUUUUUUGCUAGAAUACUGGUAAUGUAGAUGACACUCACUUAGCAACUUUCUCUGGCGUGACAUAUAACAACUUGUAUUUACAAUAAUCAGAACAAAGUUCCCUUAGGAUCUCCUGUUGUUCAGUCCACUCCAUGUUGGCACUCAGGUAAGCAGCAGGAAUUUUUGCCUAUAGCACAAACCAAUAGGUAAGAAAAAUGCAUGCCACUAAAUGAGCAGUUUGCAGUAACCAAAGGAAAAUAAAUGCUUGACUAAAUUAGUAAGAUAGCUAGCAUACCUGUAAAAGGUGCAUUAUUUGAUCUUGGAUCAGCGACACGAGUGGAGAAAUUACUAAGGUUAUUCCAGGACAAACUAGAGCAGGAAGCUGCGUGAAUCAUUAAAAAAAAAAAAAAAAGAGUGGGUCCAUUGUUAAAACUGUGAACCAAGAAAAAGUUUAAUUUCCCAGUAUCACCAAAAAUUCAAAGAUAAAGAAAAUUUAGCCAAGCUGGUAUUCUAGAAUCAAUUCAAAUGCAAAAUAUUGUCAGAGAUAUGACUCUGGAAGUUAAACAGAUUGUCACAAAUGGAAACAGCAAAAUAAUGGAAAUUAAAUGAAACUAAAGCUGUGUCUAACAGAAUUAGACUUUAUUAGAGCUGAAUGAUCACCUGAUAUGUCAGACUUUUUCCACCUCCUGUUGGCAUUAAAACAAAGACAUCAUACCCACUCAUUGUAGCAUUGAUUACCUCUCUUUGAUUGGGGCGAAACGAGUGAUUUCCAAACACUUUUUUGUUAUUGGCCUAGCAGCAAACCAAGCAAACAGUAAUAUAGUAUGUAAUGAAACUAGUGAUUGAUAAAAUUCUAAGAAAUGGGUAAAAAUCUAGAGCAAAAGAGCACCUCCAGCUUUUUUGUCCAUGGGAAAUUUGUGCUGCUCCACUUUGAGCCUUCGAUAUAAUUAACUUCAACAAAGCUUGGAAUGUAAGGUUCUCUCUCUAAAGGAACAGAAGAAACAUCAAAGCUAUCAAUGGAAGAGAAUGAAACUGAGGGUGCAUUCCACUUUUCAUAUCCAUUCAGGUCAUUUCGUAGAUGAACCUGGGCAUCAAAUCUCAUGGGAUCUAUUUUGCAUGCAGCAGAUUGAGGUGUUUCAUACUGCAAAUUUCGAACCAAUGUGGAUGCAGAACAAUGUGACUUCUGUCUUUCCUUAUCACGAAGAUAUUUUUCAAGUUGCUGAAUUUGCUUAUUGAGCUGUGACCUAUUUAUGAAAACAGAAAUAGACAUGCAUAAGAGAGCAAAUCUAACAAUCAUUCGAGCUUAUCUCCCAAGAAAAGGAGCUGAGAGUGUUUUACAAAAUGCAAAAAGACAAUGGAGCAUAUUUUUCAUGUCUAUCAUACUAUAUUUCCUUCCAUGUAAUCCCAGAAUUCCUCUGCCAUACUCUAUUUCUAUUCUUCCUGUGAACUUUGGUUCACCUAUUGUGGCUCCAUUGAACCAAAAAAACCCAUGCAUCAAAAGGUAGUAUGAUAUCAUGGGAGAAGAAAAAGGAGAAGAAGCACAACCUAUCUUGGCGAAGCUUAUCUAUUUGCGCUUGACUCAGUUCAGCAGCAUUGUCAAGCAGAUCAUUUGAUACUGCAAUCAGCAUAUCCUUCAUUUCUUGUAAAUGUUUGGCAGCUUCUGGGCAAAGUCCUAGCUGUAAUGAUUUAAGAAUCAGGCAGAUCAAGAUGAGAAUAGAAUAGAACAGUGCAAAUAUAGUGCCCAAACCUUGAAUCCAUGACUGCAGUUUGAACACAACUCAGGUGGCACAGAAAUCUCCUCUGGCCUUGUAAAACUAUUUUGAUCUGCAGUUGGAGUUAUGAGCGGAAACUUAGAAAUUGCUGGUUGCGGUGUGCAAGUAGCUUGGUAGUGCUCCAUAACAAUUUGGUCCACAUCUAUACUCUGCCACCAAGCUAACAUGUGCAAGGAGCAUGAGAUACCAGAAUGAGCAUCCUACCUGUUCAUUUCAGCUAUGAAAAACAUCGAUGUUUGUUUCAUAGCAUCAUCACCAAUGUAUUAGCUCCCAUGAUUUAAAGAACUAUAUAUAUGUUAAAUCUAUUUCUUUUUUAUUCAUUUCGAUUUAUUUAUCCAUCAAAUCAAUGGAAAUCUUCAUUUUCAGACACUUGAAAAGCGCACAAAAUAGAAAAAAUUAAAAUUAAAAACCAACAAAAUUGAAAAACCUGGAAAUGUAAAAACUUGAAGAAAUAAAAAAAAAAAUUAUUGGAAAAGUAAGGUCAUUACAUAUAUACUAUAUAACUCAUACUAUUAGAGACAGAAUCUGAUCACAUAUAAUUAAUUAAAUCCAUUAUUGCUGAGAAUUACAUGCACGUAAUACAUAUUGAAGAAACUAAGAACAGCAACAUAUUUAUUUAAUUAGACUGAUGCUAAGAACAUCGAUUAUCACUACAAACAGUACUCAAACAUAAACAGAUUGACGCUCCAUGCAAAUAAUAGCUAGUUAGCUCUUGUCACUUCAACCCAAACCUCCUCACCAAACAGCAUGAAACUACUCCUCCUCUUAGCUUCAACCCUGAACUGUGACCCCAGGUUCUGGUCAUCCUCACGAUGAAGAACAACCAUGUCACCAACUCUCAGUCCAUAAUCAGCAACAAAUUGAAGCCAGCCCAUAGAAAGCACUGGAUUUUCACCAUUUCUCUUCAGGCAACGAAUGACUCGAAGCUCACCAUAGCAAUCUCUAACAUUCAAAUCAACAUAAUUAUUUCCAGCAAAAUCUAAAUGCUCUAAGCAAUGAGUUGGGAACGAGAACCGCACACGAACAUCAGUAUCAGUUAACACUUUGCUGAAGAUCUG
This 23320-nucleotide long non-coding RNA is filed under the name Populus tremula. RNAcentral describes it as "long non-coding RNA (PTRE_LNC002063)". The record is from RNAcentral. Lineage: Eukaryota; Viridiplantae; Streptophyta; Magnoliopsida; Malpighiales; Salicaceae.